Molecule: ribosomal RNA, 1075 nt
Filed under: Staphylococcus aureus
Lineage: Bacteria; Bacillati; Bacillota; Bacilli; Caryophanales; Staphylococcaceae
Description: partial 23S ribosomal RNA
Rfam family: Bacterial large subunit ribosomal RNA
Source: RNAcentral
UCGAUUCCCUUAGUAGCGGCGAGCGAAACGGGAAGAGCCCAAACCAACAAGCUUGCUUGUUGGGGUUGUAGGACACUCUAUACGGAGUUACAAAGGACGACAUUAGACGAAUCAUCUGGAAAGAUGAAUCAAAGAAGGUAAUAAUCCUGUAGUCGAAAAUGUUGUCUCUCUUGAGUGGAUCCUGAGUACGACGGAGCACGUGAAAUUCCGUCGGAAUCUGGGAGGACCAUCUCCUAAGGCUAAAUACUCUCUAGUGACCGAUAGUGAACCAGUACCGUGAGGGAAAGGUGAAAAGCACCCCGGAAGGGGAGUGAAAUAGAACCUGAAACCGUGUGCUUACAAGUAGUCAGAGCCCGUUAAUGGGUGAUGGCGUGCCUUUUGUAGAAUGAACCGGCGAGUUACGAUUUGAUGCAAGGUUAAGCAGUAAAUGUGGAGCCGUAGCGAAAGCGAGUCUGAAUAGGGCGUUUAGUAUUUGGUCGUAGACCCGAAACCAGGUGAUCUACCCUUGGUCAGGUUGAAGUUCAGGUAACACUGAAUGGAGGACCGAACCGACUUACGUUGAAAAGUGAGCGGAUGAACUGAGGGUAGCGGAGAAAUUCCAAUCGAACCUGGAGAUAGCUGGUUCUCUCCGAAAUAGCUUUAGGGCUAGCCUCAAGUGAUGAUUAUUGGAGGUAGAGCACUGUUUGGACGAGGGGCCCCUCUCGGGUUACCGAAUUCAGACAAACUCCGAAUGCCAAUUAAUUUAACUUGGGAGUCAGAACAUGGGUGAUAAGGUCCGUGUUCGAAAGGGAAACAGCCCAGACCACCAGCUAAGGUCCCAAAAUAUAUGUUAAGUGGAAAAGGAUGUGGCGUUGCCCAGACAACUAGGAUGUUGGCUUAGAAGCAGCCAUCAUUUAAAGAGUGCGUAAUAGCUCACUAGUCGAGUGACACUGCGCCGAAAAUGUACCGGGGCUAAACAUAUUACCGAAGCUGUGGAUUGUCCUUUGGACAAUGGUAGGAGAGCGUUCUAAGGGCGUUGAAGCAUGAUCGUAAGGACAUGUGGAGCGCUUAGAAGUGAGAAUGCCGGUGUGAGUAG